This 253-nucleotide ribosomal RNA is filed under the name uncultured bacterium. RNAcentral's name for it is "partial 16S ribosomal RNA". It matches the Rfam family "Bacterial small subunit ribosomal RNA", at positions 524 to 776 of the family's 1533-position model. The record is from RNAcentral.
UACGGAGGGUGCAAGCGUUAAUCGGAAUUACUGGGCGUAAAGAGUGCGUAGGUGGUUUUGUGUGUUAGAUGUGAAAUCCAUGGGCUUAACCUGUGAAUUGCAUUUAAAACUGCAAGGCUAGAGUGUUGUAGAGGGUGGCGGAAUUUCCAGUGUAGCGGUGAAAUGCGUAGAUAUCGGAAGGAACAUCAGUGGCGAAAGCGACUUCCUGGACCAGUACCGACGUUCAGGCACGAAAGCGUGGGGAGCAAACAGG